Molecule: ribosomal RNA, 354 nt
Filed under: uncultured bacterium
Lineage: Bacteria
Description: bacterial SSU rRNA
Rfam family: Bacterial small subunit ribosomal RNA
Source: RNAcentral
GUGGGAACGUGCCCUUCUCUGCGGAAUAGCCACUGGAAACGGUGAGUAAUACCGCAUACGCCUUCGGGGGAAAGAUUUAUCGGAGAAGGAUCGGCCCGCGUUAGAUUAGAUAGUUGGUGGGUAACGGCCGUACCAAGUCUACGAUCUAUAGCUGGUUUUAGAGGAUGAUCAGCAACACUGGGACUGAGACACGGCCCAGACUCCUACGGGAGGCAGCAGUGGGGAAUCUUAGACAAUGGGCGCAAGCCUGAUCUAGCCAUGCCGCGUGUGUGAUGAAGGUCUUAGGAUCGUAAAGCACUUUCGCCAGGGAUGAUAAUGACAGUACCUGGUAAAGAAACCCCGGCUAACUCCGUG